GAUUAUGAUGUAGAAGGUUUACACUAUGAUUGCAAAUCAUAUGAAGAGGUUCGAUUCCUCCGUAAUCUUC
RNAcentral lists this transfer RNA (70 nucleotides) under Parengyodontium album. Its description in RNAcentral is "tRNA-Cys". It matches the Rfam family "tRNA". Rfam says of the family: Transfer RNA (tRNA) molecules are approximately 80 nucleotides in length. Their secondary structure includes four short double-helical elements and three loops (D, anti-codon, and T loops). The record is from RNAcentral. Lineage: Eukaryota; Fungi; Ascomycota; Sordariomycetes; Hypocreales; Cordycipitaceae.